RNAcentral lists this ribosomal RNA (446 nucleotides) under uncultured bacterium. RNAcentral's name for it is "partial 16S ribosomal RNA". It matches the Rfam family "Bacterial small subunit ribosomal RNA", at positions 330 to 792 of the family's 1533-position model. The record is from RNAcentral.
UCCAGACUCCUACGGGAGGCAGCAGUGGGGGAUAUUGCACAAUGGGGGGAACCCUGAUGCAGCGACGCCGCGUGGGUGAAGGAGCGUUUCGGCGCGUAAAGCCCUAUCGGCAGGGAAGAAGGAGGACGGUACCUGACUAAGAAGCCCCGGCUAACUACGUGCCAGCAGCCGCGGUAAUACGUAGGGGGCAAGCGUUAUCCGGAUUUACUGGGUGUAAAGGGGGCGCAGACGGCAGCGCAAGCCAGGAGUGAAAGCCCGGGGCCCAACCCCGGGACUGCUCUUGGAACUGCGCGGCUGGAGUGCAGGAGGGGCAGGCGGAAUUCCUGGUGUAGCGGUGAAAUGCGUAGAUAUCAGGAGGAAUACCGGUGGCGAAGGCGGCCUGCUGGACUGCGACUGACGUUGAGGCCCGAAAGCGUGGGGAGCAAACAGGAUUAGAUACCCCAGUA